This 253-nucleotide ribosomal RNA is filed under the name uncultured bacterium. RNAcentral's name for it is "partial 16S ribosomal RNA". It matches the Rfam family "Bacterial small subunit ribosomal RNA", at positions 524 to 776 of the family's 1533-position model. The record is from RNAcentral.
UACGGAGGGUGCAAGCGUUAUCCGGAAUCAUUGGGUUUAAAGGGUCCGCAGGCGGAUUAAUAAGUCAGUGGUGAAAUCUCAUAGCUUAACUAUGAAACUGCCAUUGAUACUGUUAGUCUUGAAUAUGGUCGAUGUGGGCGGAAUAUGACAUGUAGCGGUGAAAUGCUUAGAUAUGUUAUAGAACACCGAUAGCGAAGGCAGCUCACAAGACCAUUAUUGACGCUCAUGGACGAAAGCGUGGGGAGCAAACAGG